GACGAACGCUGGCGGCGUGCUUAACACAUGCAAGUCGAACGGAAAGGCCCUGCUCUUGCGGGUCGCUCGAUUGGCGAACGGGUGAGUAACACGCGAGUAACCUGCCCCUGACUUUGUGAUAACUUCUGGAAACUGGGGCUAAUACCGGAUAGGAGCUCCUGCUCCAUGGUGGGGGUUGGAAAGUUUCGGCGGUUGGGGAUGGACUCGCGGCUUAUCAGCUUGUUAGUGGGGUAGUUGUUUACCAAGGCUGUGAGGGGUAGCCGGCCUGAGAGGGUGACCGGGCACAUGGCGACUAAGAGACGCCGCAGUAGCGUACGUGAGGCAGCAGUGGGGAGUCUGGCGCAACGGGGGGGAGCGUGAUACGGAAGUGUUGGGUGCGGGAUGACGUCCUACGGGUGGUGAACCGAUUUCGCCUGUGACGAAGCGUGAGUGACGGUAAUGGGUAAGGAAGCACCGGCUAACUACGUG
Molecule: ribosomal RNA, 468 nt
Filed under: uncultured bacterium
Lineage: Bacteria
Description: partial 16S ribosomal RNA
Rfam family: Bacterial small subunit ribosomal RNA
Source: RNAcentral